AUACGGAGGGUGCAAGCGUUACUCGGAAUCACUGGGCGUAAAGCGCGCGCAGGCGGCUAUUUAAGUUGGAUGUGAAAGCCUACGGCUCAACCGUAGAACUGCAUCCAAAACUAUUUAGCUAGAGUGUGGGAGAGGAAGAUGGAAUUAGUUGUGUAGGGGUAAAAUCCGUAGAGAUACCUAGGAAUACCAAAAGCGAAGGCAAUCUUCUGGAACACUACUGACGCUCAGGCGCGAAAGCGUGGGGAGCAAACAGGAUUAGAUACCCCUGUAGUCC
This 274-nucleotide ribosomal RNA is filed under the name uncultured bacterium. Its description in RNAcentral is "partial 16S ribosomal RNA". It matches the Rfam family "Bacterial small subunit ribosomal RNA", at positions 523 to 796 of the family's 1533-position model. The record is from RNAcentral.